This 252-nucleotide ribosomal RNA is filed under the name uncultured bacterium. RNAcentral describes it as "partial 16S ribosomal RNA". It matches the Rfam family "Bacterial small subunit ribosomal RNA", at positions 524 to 775 of the family's 1533-position model. The record is from RNAcentral.
UACGGAGGGUGCGAGCGUUGUCCGGAAUCACUGGGCGUAAAGGGCGCGUAGGCGGCGCGGAUAGUCGGCGGUGAAAGCCCGGAGCUCAACUCCGGGUCGGCCGUCGAUACUUCCGGGCUUGAGCACUGUAGAGGCAGAUGGAAUUCCGGGUGUAGCGGUGGAAUGCGUAGAGAUCCGGAAGAACACCGGUGGCGAAGGCGGUCUGCUGGGCAGUUGCUGACGCUGAUGCGCGACAGCGUGGGGAGCAAGCAG